GUGCUCCUUCAGCAGACAAAUACUAAAAGAGCAAUCGUACAGAGAAGGUUAGCAUGGCAUCUGUGCAAAGGUGGCUUGCAAAUUUGCAAAGGAUUCCAUACUUUU
This is a small nuclear RNA of Manis pentadactyla (Chinese pangolin), 105 nucleotides long. Lineage: Eukaryota; Metazoa; Chordata; Mammalia; Pholidota; Manidae. The record is from RefSeq and is a predicted model, not a curated record.